Molecule: ribosomal RNA, 448 nt
Filed under: uncultured bacterium
Lineage: Bacteria
Description: bacterial SSU rRNA
Rfam family: Bacterial small subunit ribosomal RNA
Source: RNAcentral
UGCAGUCGAGCGGUACAGAAGUAGCUUGCUACUUUGCUGACGAGCGGCGGACGGGUGAGUAAUGCUUGGGAACAUGCCUUGAGGUGGGGGACAACAGUUGGAAACGACUGCUAAUACCGCAUAAUGUCUACGGACCAAAGGGGGCUUCGGCUCUCGCCUUUAGAUUGGCCCAAGUGGGAUUAGCUAGUUGGUGAGGUAAUGGCUCACCAAGGCAACGAUCCCUAGCUGGUUUGAGAGGAUGAUCAGCCACACUGGAACUGAGACACGGCCCAGACUCCUACGGGAGGCAGCAGUGGGGAAUAUUGGACAAUGGGCGAAAGCCUGAUCCAGCAAUGCCGCGUGUGUGAAGAAGGCCUGCGGGUUGUAAAGCACUUUCAGUUGGGAAGAUGAUGACGUUACCAACAGAAGAAGCACCGGCUAACUCCGUGCCAGCAGCCGCGGUAAUACG